UACGUAGGUGGCAAGCGUUAUCCGGAUUUAUUGGGCGUAAAGGGAACGCAGGCGGUCUUUUAAGUCUGAUGUGAAAGCCUUCGGCUUAACCGGAGUAGUGCAUUGGAAACUGGGAGACUUGAGUGCAGAAGAGGAGAGUGGAACUCCAUGUGUAGCGGUGAAAUGCGUAGAUAUAUGGAAGAACACCAGUGGCGAAAGCGGCUCUCUGGUCUUUAACUGACGCUGAGGUUCGAAAGCGUGGGUAGCAAACAGG
Molecule: ribosomal RNA, 253 nt
Filed under: uncultured bacterium
Lineage: Bacteria
Description: partial 16S ribosomal RNA
Rfam family: Bacterial small subunit ribosomal RNA
Source: RNAcentral